GGGUUGUGAGGUUAAGCGACUAAGCGUACACGGUGGAUGCCCUGGCAGUCAGAGGCGAUGAAGGACGUGCUAAUCUGCGAUAAGCGUCGGUAAGGUGAUAUGAACCGUUAUAACCGGCGAUUUCCGAAUGGGGAAACCCAGUGUGAUUCGUCACACUAUCAUUACGUGAAUACAUAGCGUAAUGAAGCGAACCGGGGGAACUGAAACAUCUAAGUACCCCGAGGAAAAGAAAUCAACCGAGAUUCCCCCAGUAGCGGCGAGCGAACGGGGAGCAGCCCAGAGUCUGAAUCAGCUUGUGUGUUAGUGGAACGGUCUGGAAAGUCCGACGGUACAGGGUGAUAGUCCCGUACACCAAAAUGCACAGGUUGUGAACUCGAAGAGUAGGGCGGGACACGUGGUAUCCUGUCUGAAUAUGGGGGGACCAUCCUCCAAGGCUAAAUACUCCUGACUGACCGAUAGUGAACCAGUACCGUGAGGGAAAGGCGAAAAGAACCCCGGCGAGGGGAGUGAAAAAGAACCUGAAACCGUGUACGUACAAGCAGUGGGAGCAUCCUUUUGGGUGUGACUGCGUACCUUUUGUAUAAUGGGUCAGCGACUUAUAUUCUGUAGCAAGGUUAACCGUAUAGGGGAGCCGAAGGGAAACCGAGUCUUAACUGGGCGUUAAGUUGCAGGGUAUAGACCCGAAACCCGGUGAUCUAGCCAUGGGCAGGUUGAAGGUUGGGUAACACUAACUGGAGGACCGAACCGACUAAUGUUGAAAAAUUAGCGGAUGACUUGUGGCUGGGGGUGAAAGGCCAAUCAAACCGGGAGAUAGCUGGUUCUCCCCGAAAGCUAUUUAGGUAGCGCCUCGUGAACUCAUCUUCGGGGGUAGAGCACUGUUUCGGCUAGGGGGUCAUCCCGACUUACCAACCCGAUGCAAACUGCGAAUACCGAAGAAUGUUAUCACGGGAGACACACGGCGGGUGCUAACGUCCGUCGUGAAGAGGGAAACAACCCAGACCGCCAGCUAAGGUCCCAAAGUCAUGGUUAAGUGGGAAACGAUGUGGGAAGGCACAGACAGCCAGGAUGUUGGCUUAGAAGCAGCCAUCAUUUAAAGAAAGCGUAAUAGCUCACUGGUCGAGUCGGCCUGCGCGGAAGAUGUAACGGGGCUAAACCAUGCACCGAAGCUGCGGCAGCGACACUAUGUGUUGUUGGGUAGGGGAGCGUUCUGUAAGCCGUUGAAGGUGUAUCGUGAGGUAUGCUGGAGGUAUCAGAAGUGCGAAUGCUGACAUAAGUAACGAUAAUGCGGGUGAAAAACCCGCACGCCGGAAGACCAAGGGUUCCUGUCCAACGUUAAUCGGGGCAGGGUGAGUCGACCCCUAAGGCGAGGCCGAAAGGCGUAGUCGAUGGGAAACAGGUUAAUAUUCCUGUACUUGGUGUUACUGCGAAGGGGGGACGGAGAAGGCUAUGUUAGCCGGGCGACGGUUGUCCCGGUUUAAGCAUGUAGGCGGAGGUUCCAGGUAAAUCCGGUACCUUUUUAACGCUGAGGUGUGAUGACGAGGCACUACGGUGCUGAAGUAACAAAUGCCCUGCUUCCAGGAAAAGCCUCUAAGCAUCAGGUAACACGAAAUCGUACCCCAAACCGACACAGGUGGUCAGGUAGAGAAUACCAAGGCGCUUGAGAGAACUCGGGUGAAGGAACUAGGCAAAAUGGUGCCGUAACUUCGGGAGAAGGCACGCUGAUAUGUAGGUGAAGUGAUUUACUCAUGGAGCUGAAAUCAGUCGAAGAUACCAGCUGGCUGCAACUGUUUAUUAAAAACACAGCACUGUGCAAACACGAAAGUGGACGUAUACGGUGUGACGCCUGCCCGGUGCCGGAAGGUUAAUUGAUGGGGUUAUCCGUAAGGAGAAGCUCUUGAUCGAAGCCCCGGUAAACGGCGGCCGUAACUAUAACGGUCCUAAGGUAGCGAAAUUCCUUGUCGGGUAAGUUCCGACCUGCACGAAUGGCGUAAUGAUGGCCAGGCUGUCUCCACCCGAGACUCAGUGAAAUUGAACUCGCUGUGAAGAUGCAGUGUACCCGCGGCAAGACGGAAAGACCCCGUGAACCUUUACUAUAGCUUGACACUGAACACUGGUCCUUGAUGUGUAGGAUAGGUGGGAGGCUUUGAAGUGUGGACGCCAGUCUGCAUGGAGCCAUCCUUGAAAUACCACCCUUUAAUGGCUGGUGUUCUAACGUGGACCCGUAAUCCGGGUUGCGGACAGUGUCUGGUGGGUAGUUUGACUGGGGCGGUCUCCUCCUAAAGAGUAACGGAGGAGCACGAAGGUUAGCUAAUCCUGGUCGGACAUCAGGAGGUUAGUGCAAAGGCAUAAGCUAGCUUGACUGCGAGAGUGACGGCUCGAGCAGGUGCGAAAGCAGGUCUUAGUGAUCCGGUGGUUCUGAAUGGAAGGGCCAUCGCUCAACGGAUAAAAGGUACUCCGGGGAUAACAGGCUGAUACCGCCCAAGAGUUCAUAUCGACGGCGGUGUUUGGCACCUCGAUGUCGGCUCAUCACAUCCUGGGGCUGAAGUAGGUCCCAAGGGUAUGGCUGUUCGCCAUUUAAAGUGGUACGCGAGCUGGGUUUAGAACGUCGUGAGACAGUUCGGUCCCUAUCUGCCGUGGGCGCUGGAGAAUUGAGGGGGGCUGCUCCUAGUACGAGAGGACCGGAGUGGACGCAUCACUGGUGUUCGGGUUGUCAUGCCAAUGGCAUUGCCCGGUAGCUAAAUGCGGAAGAGAUAAGUGCUGAAAGCAUCUAAGCACGAAACUUGCCCCGAGAUGAGUUCUCCCUGAGACUUUAAGUCUCCUGAAGGAACGUUAAAGACGAUGACGUUGAUAGGUCGGGUGUGUAAGUGUAGCGAUACAUUGAGCUAACCGAUACUAAUGAACCGUGAGGCUUAACCUUACAACGCCGAAG
Molecule: ribosomal RNA, 2929 nt
Filed under: Citrobacter freundii
Lineage: Bacteria; Pseudomonadati; Pseudomonadota; Gammaproteobacteria; Enterobacterales; Enterobacteriaceae
Description: bacterial LSU rRNA
Rfam family: Bacterial large subunit ribosomal RNA
Source: RNAcentral